This 187-nucleotide ribosomal RNA is filed under the name Bacillus subtilis. RNAcentral describes it as "partial 16S rRNA. Bacterial SSU". It matches the Rfam family "Bacterial small subunit ribosomal RNA", at positions 19 to 202 of the family's 1533-position model. Lineage: Bacteria; Bacillati; Bacillota; Bacilli; Caryophanales; Bacillaceae. The record is from RNAcentral.
CUGGCUCAGGACGAACGCUGGCGGCGUGCCUAAUACAUGCAAGUCGAGCGGACAGAUGGGAGCUUGCUCCCUGAUGUUAGCGGCGGACGGGUGAGUAACACGUGGGUAACCUGCCUGUAAGACUGGGAUAACUCCGGGAAACCGGGGCUAAUACCGGAUGGUUGUUUGAACCGCAUGGUUCAAACAU